AGUUGUUGCGGUUAAAAAGCUCGUAGUCGAAUCUGUGUCCCGCGCCGCCGGUUCAUCGUCCGCGGUGUUAACUGGCGUGCCGCGGGACGUCCUGCCGGUGGGCUUAGCUCGCAAGGGCGGCCCAACUCAAUCCCGCCGCGGUGCUCUUCACUGAGUGUCGAGGUGGGCCGGCACGUUUACUUUGAACAAAUUAGAGUGCUUAAAGCAGGCUAAAACUUCGCCUGAAUACUGUGUGCAUGGAAUAAUGGAAUAGGACCUCGGUUCUAUUUUGUUGGUUUUCGGAACCCCGAGGUAAUGAUUAAUAGGAACGGAUGGGGGCAUUCGUAUUGCGACGUUAGAG
Molecule: ribosomal RNA, 340 nt
Filed under: Desmocerus californicus californicus
Lineage: Eukaryota; Metazoa; Arthropoda; Insecta; Coleoptera; Cerambycidae
Also listed under: 1 other name
Description: SSU rRNA
Rfam family: Eukaryotic small subunit ribosomal RNA
Source: RNAcentral